CUGAAAAGAGACUGGCCUCACCACUAUGGCCCCCACACCUCAGCUCUAACCUGAUAUAUGAUGUCUGCCAUCAUUGGUAGAUAGCAGAAUGCACAGCCAGGAACCAAGGAGGAACUUUCCCUCCUCUCAUCCUAGUGCUGGUUAUACGGGAGAAGAGGCUGACCCCCACUUUGCUACAACCUCCUUUCAAGGAGCUGCAGGGAGUGAUAAGGUCUCCUCCUGAGCCUCCUCAACUCCACACUGAACAACCCCAGUUCUUUCUGCUGCUCCUCAUAAGACUUGUGUUCCGGACUGACCUUUCAUAGCUCUGUUGCCUUUCUUUGGACACACUCCAGGGCCUCAACAACUUUCUUGUCAUGAAGGGCGCAGAACUGAAUACAGCACAGAACAGGUGUUGUGUACAUCAGAGCUGAGUACAGGAAGAUGAUCACCUCCCCGCUCCUCUUGGCUGCGCUGUUUCUGAUACAGGCCAGGAUGCCCUUGGUCCGCAUGGCCAUCUGAGCAUACUGCUGGCUCACGUUCAGCCAGCUGCUGAUUAGAGCUCUCAGAAUCCUUCUCCAGCAUGCAGUUUUCCAGCCACUCAGUUUCAAGCCUGAACUACUGCACUUGGUUUUCUGGAACUCCAUACCACUGGCCUCAGCCCACCAAGCCAGCUUAUCCAGACCCCUCUGUAAAGCCUUCCUACCCCUAUGCAGAUCAACACUUCUUCCAGUUUGGUGUUAUCUGCAAAUCUACUGAUGGUGCCAUCUAUCCCAUCAUCCAGGUCAUCAGUGAAGAUACUGGUAACAUAAUAUUAAGUAGAUGUGGUCUGAGUUAAUUGCAAAGAAGAAUAAGAAAUUAUUUAAGGUCCUUUCCAUCCAUAUAUUCAUUAGGAUAAAAUUUUGCUGUUAUUUUGUUUUGCAAGCAUAGGAACGAUACUGUUAUACAAUUUGAUUAUGCAAUCCCUGUGAUGAUAUUCAAAGGCAUGCUAUUCCUAAACAAACUUGCUGCUAUUCAAAGAUUCAGUUGUAAGGAGAGCUGGCAAUGCAAACUCCAGGAUGUGUGAUCCAGUGAUCCAGGCAUUAUUUCAGUGUUUCCUACAAUGUUAGAAGGUGAAAGCCACUUCACUUUAAGCCACCAACUGAGGUUCAGGUCUUAGAAAUCUCACUUUUACACUAAGAUCUGCUGAAUAGCAAUCCUAGUUUAAUUAAAUGUGGUGUAGAUUCAGUCCUCUUGGGGACUUAAACAUAGCGAAGAUAUUGUUUCAUAACUAGGACAUUGCCUGACAGAGCCUUAGCAGGAAAAAAUGGAAAGAAGUUUCUGUAUUAGAACGGCAAAGCAUGUACUUGUCAAAAUUACUGUAUGCAUUUAGGGAAAAUAGUUGCAAUUAAACUAAUUAUAAUUUAAGAGUACUUAAAUGACUAACAAUAAAGACUGCAUCUUUAUUUUUCUGCAUUCAGCAGGCAUCCUUCUCUGGCCUUGUACGUGAACCACCUGAUACUCUACAAGGCCACAGGAAAGAGUUUAUCUAAACAAAGUCAUCUGUUUUCUUUAAAAAUGCAUGACUGUUUGCUAGGUGGGAAAGCUGCAGUUUGAAGUCUCUCCGUUAGCAAAAAUUGACAAGGUAAAAGAGGAAUAUACACCUGAAAUACACAUCUUUUAAAUGUAAUAAAAGAACUAGCAAGUGCAUACUGCAUCCAUCAGUACCUCUUAAUUCUCUGCUAGGGAAAUCAGAUAGCUGAGUUUCUUCAGUGUUAAUGCUCAUCCUUGACUCAUUUCUUUAAGGCUAUCAGAAAAAUGUAUUGUGUUCAGUGUUCCAAUUGAAGGAACUUAAAAGAGCCUCCCAUUUUGCAUAGGAACUCAUACAGGAAGGCACACUGAAGCACUACAGAGGGAACAUCUUGAGUUUCCAGUAGGUUCUCAGUUUGUGGAUUCAGACAUAAAUGGCAUCAACUUAGAUUCAAUACCAAUAUUUUAAAUUAGUGUCUCUGUCCAGAAACAGGGUGGGGAAUUGUCCAGCCAGAUCCCCAUAUUUGGAGGCUUAAUAAUAGAGAAAGAAGAAAGGAUAGGUUGACAGACUUUUUUUUCCCUCACAGACUAAACCUUCCCUGAAAACAGGUACCAUGACAGUAACAUAUGACUGAGCAUCCAAGUACACUGCACCUUUUUAUCACCUCAGCCCUGAGAAGCUACUAUUUCAGUGAUGAGUACUUAACAAGACAUGACUAAUGCAAUUUAAUGCACUUAGAAGUCUUGAUAAAAAUAACCAUUUAUCAAAGAAAGCUUUUUAGUAAAAAAAAAAUCUUUGAGUAUUCUUACAGCCUUU
Molecule: long non-coding RNA, 2305 nt
Organism: Lagopus leucura (white-tailed ptarmigan)
Lineage: Eukaryota; Metazoa; Chordata; Aves; Galliformes; Phasianidae
Exons: 3
Source: RefSeq, a predicted model, not a curated record